Molecule: ribosomal RNA, 330 nt
Filed under: uncultured bacterium
Lineage: Bacteria
Description: bacterial SSU rRNA
Rfam family: Bacterial small subunit ribosomal RNA
Source: RNAcentral
CGCGUAGGUGGUAGUGCAAGUCUGGGGUGGAAUCUUAGGGCUUAACCCUAAAACUGCCUUGGAAACUGCAUUACUUGAGUCAGUGAGGGGAGGGUAGAAUUCCUGGUGUAGCGGUGAAAUGCGUAGAUAUCAGGAGGAAGGCCUGUGGCGAAGGCGGCCCUCUGGCGCUGAACUGACACUGAGGCGCGAAAGCGUGGGUAGCAAACAGGAUUAGAUACCCUGGUAGUCCACGCCCUAAACGGUGGGUACUAGUUGUAGGGCUCGUAAGGGUUCUGUGCCGAAGGGAAACCAUUAAGUACCCCGCCUGGGGAGUACGGCCGCAAGGUUGAA